UGGAAUUCAAUACUCGGUUCCC
Molecule: non-coding RNA, 22 nt
Filed under: Arabidopsis thaliana (thale cress)
Lineage: Eukaryota; Viridiplantae; Streptophyta; Magnoliopsida; Brassicales; Brassicaceae
Source: RNAcentral